RNAcentral lists this long non-coding RNA (1590 nucleotides) under Daphnia pulicaria. RNAcentral's name for it is "uncharacterized LOC124329418". The record is from RNAcentral. Lineage: Eukaryota; Metazoa; Arthropoda; Branchiopoda; Diplostraca; Daphniidae.
ACAUUCAUCAUUUAGAACAACCAAAAUACGAGAAUCAUCCCUAGUUUCGUUUGCUUCGACUUCGAAGACUGAAAUGCAUAACGAUGAACAAAAACCAUCACUCGGCAUUUUAUUACCCAAAGUACAGGCAGAAACGUCUCCAAUUUUCAAUCUAGCAAGCUCUAAACCUCCGCAGCCAAUACCUAUUCAACCGGUGGUAAGCGUCGUGGCAGAAGUUCAACCAAUUGAUCCCAUCCAACAUCAUGUAGAGCAACAAAGCAAAUUAAUUCCCCCAGUUUCCAGCAGCAAUAUUUUACCCCCUCCAAAUGCUCGACCGACUCCGAAAACCAAGCAGAUAGCAGUAAACGGCAAGGUUUACAGCGUUAUGAAACCGCUUGGGCGUGGGGGAUCAAGUGUCGUAUAUCAGGUACUGAACCAAGAAUGACAUAUUUGCCUUAAAAGUUGUUCGUCUUGAUUCCGUUGACGAAGUCACAGCUGAAGGCUAUAUUAAUGAAAUCCGGCUGUUGAAACAACUACAAGGUUUGCCUCGCGUCGUCCGCCUUCUUGAAUACGAGUACAACGAAGAAGAAGAGAAAUUGUUGUUGGUAAUGGAAAAAGGUGAUACCGACUUCGCAACUGUCAUCCGGACUCGCACCAGUCUCAACGCCAUCAACCCUACCCUGAUUCGCUUUUACUGGCAGGAAAUGUUAGAAGCUGUGAAAGAGAUUCAUGACAAGAAUGUGAUUCAUACAGAUCUGAAACCGGCUAACUUUCUUUUGGUCAAUGGAGGCUUAAAGUUGAUCGACUUCGGUAUUGCCACUUCUAUCCAGGCCGACAUGACGUCGAAAUGAAGGACAGCCAGUGCGGUACAUACAAUUACAUGACACCAGAAGCAAUCAAAUCUGCUACGCCUUCUGGAACGUACCAAGAGUAUAAGAUAAGCAGGAAAACAGACGUGUGGUCUCUUGGAUGUAUGUUGUACAGUUUCAUUUACAAGAACCCACCUUUUAGCAAGUUCAGGGACACAAUCGAGAAAAUCAGUGCCAUCGUUGCGUCAUGUUAUAGACUUUCCUUUGACGGCUGAUCCGAUGGUUAUAGCAGUUCUAAAAGGCUGUCUCGAUCGCAAUCCGCGCACUCGACCAUCAAUUGAGCAGCUUUUAUCUCAUCCAUAUUUGACAUGUACAAGUCAGUCUCCGGUCCAAAUAUCCUCGAAGAACAUUCCCCCUCAGCUGCGUAUUCAGCUUGAAUUUCUACUAGAAGGUGGUCAACUCACUGAGGAAGUCAAGGAAAAUAUUCGACAAUGGAUGUGAAUUACUUCCAUGAGCGACUUCCAUGCAAGCAAUACUGUAUCAGUCAUCAUUAUCAAAUUCAUCCCAUAUUGUAAUUUAAAUAUUGUUGUAAUAUCAGAUAUACAUAACCCUUUCCCUGCCCUUCAUUAACUAUCUUCACCUUGCAAUUAUAUAGCGUCCGUUUUUUCUUCUCUAUUGCUUUCCAGUUCUGUACAAAAUAACAUAAGCCAACUUUAACGGUUAUAAAAUAAAAAUAAAGUUAAGCGGCGUUAGAAAACUCAUACAUUUAUUAAGCGGCAAUUAUCCAAAAUUAUUUAAGGCU